This is a long non-coding RNA of Sardina pilchardus (European sardine), 840 nucleotides long. RefSeq lists it as uncharacterized. NCBI's taxonomy places the organism in Eukaryota, Metazoa, Chordata, Actinopteri, Clupeiformes, Clupeidae. The transcript is spliced from 2 exons. The record is from RefSeq and is a predicted model, not a curated record.
AUAAAUCUGUUGAAAUACACAGCAUAGUUUGAAGAUAUGGUUUGCUAGCUAUCUGUCAAACUUGGUAGGUGGUGUGCUAAUCACGAAUUAUUAAGUGGUGUCAAUACAGACUUCAGCUCUACACUGGUUGUGUAGGCUAUACUUCAAUCUGUCAAUCUGUCAGCCCUCUAGUGAGUGUGCCAUGCUUUAUUGAAUCAUGGUUUAAGGUGAUGAAUGUCUGUAUUAUAAAACAAAGCAAUAUAGUAAAUAUUAUGCUUCCUCUUUGUCUUUUUUGUUAUUUUAGAUGUAGGUAGAGAAGAGUCAGUGGCUGGUGAAGUAAGAGGAUACAGCUGUCUGCUGAUUCAAGGUCCCUGCCCCGUCGCCUCAACAUCCUCAAGAUCCUGUAGGCUACUGCUGCUGCUCCUUGCUUCAGCACCUUUCCCCUGAUGCCUGACACCCCUCAUCACCAAAUCAGCCCAGUCAACAUGGACCCAACAUGGACCCAAGUCUCCACCACAGUGUGCACAAUACACUAUACACAGACAGGGACGAGAACAAAGGUACAAUUGGUCUGAGGGGAGGACACCGCAGACAGCUGAUCAACUCCAUGUCAUCUAAUCAGGCCAUGUAAAGGACCAUGAAGGGAUGGACUUGGUGGAGGACAACAAUGUGACACCCGAAAAGAGUACAUGGAGAUCUCUCAUCCUCAUCCCUCAUGCUUAUAUUGCAUUUCAUAUAGGCCUAGAUUCUGAUGGUCUUGUAAAUCUUUGUUACACAAGUCAGAAAUUGUUGUCUUUGAUUAUUUAAUUUGAUUAUAAUAAAUGGAAAUAUAUUUUAUUGAAAAAUAUUUUUGAAAACCUA